UCCCUGGUAGUCCAGUGGCUAAGACUCCACACUUCCAGUUCGGGGAACCUAGGUUCAAUCCCUGGUCAAGGAA
This 73-nucleotide transfer RNA is filed under the name Ovis aries (sheep). It matches the Rfam family "tRNA". Rfam says of the family: Transfer RNA (tRNA) molecules are approximately 80 nucleotides in length. Their secondary structure includes four short double-helical elements and three loops (D, anti-codon, and T loops). Further hydrogen bonds mediate the characteristic L-shaped molecular structure. tRNAs have two regions of fundamental functional importance: the anti-codon, which is responsible for specific mRNA codon recognition, and the 3' end, to which the tRNAs corresponding amino acid is attached (by aminoacyl-tRNA synthetases). tRNAs cope with the degeneracy of the genetic code in two manners: having more than one tRNA (with a specific anti-codon) for a particular amino acid; and 'wobble' base-pairing, i.e. permitting non-standard base-pairing at the 3rd anti-codon position. The record is from Rfam by way of RNAcentral. Lineage: Eukaryota; Metazoa; Chordata; Mammalia; Artiodactyla; Bovidae.